RNAcentral lists this ribosomal RNA (420 nucleotides) under Triticum aestivum (bread wheat). RNAcentral's name for it is "partial small subunit ribosomal RNA". The record is from RNAcentral. Lineage: Eukaryota; Viridiplantae; Streptophyta; Magnoliopsida; Poales; Poaceae.
AUGAUGCAGAUCUUCGUGAAGACGCCGACCGGGGAGACCGUGACGCUCGAGGUCGAGAGCUGCGCGGCCGUCGACAGCGUCAAGGCCAAGAUCCACGACAAGGAAGGUAUCCAGCCGGACCAGCAGCGCCUCAUCUUCGCGGGGAAGCAGCUCGACGAUGGCCGCACCCUGACCGACUACAGCAUCCACAAGGAGUCCACGAUCCACCUCGCGCUGCGCCUCGUCGGCGGUGGCAAGGGCGGGUUCUACCCCACCAGGAUGGAGCCUAACCUGCGCAUGCUCGCGCUCAAGUACAGGCAGCACAGGCUUGUGUGCCGCAAGUGCUAUGCACGCCUGCCCCUCAGGUCUGCCAACUGCCGCAAGAAGAAGUGCGGCCACAGCAAUGACAUCAGGCCCAAGGAGAAGCUGCGCCCCCACUGA